Molecule: ribosomal RNA, 417 nt
Filed under: uncultured bacterium
Lineage: Bacteria
Description: bacterial SSU rRNA
Rfam family: Bacterial small subunit ribosomal RNA
Source: RNAcentral
UGGGGAAUUUUGCGCAAUGGGCGAGAGCCUGACGCAGCAACGCCGCGUGGAGGAUGAAGGUCUUCGGAUCGUAAACUCCUGUCAGUGGGGACGAAUGCUUCGAAAGAAGUUUGACUGUACCCGCUGAGGAAGCCACGGCUAACUCCGUGCCAGCAGCCGCGGUAAUACGGAGGUGGCAAGCGUUGUUCGGAAUUACUGGGCGUAAAGGGCGCGUAGGCGGUUUUGCAAGUCAGAUGUGAAAGCCCCGGGCUUAACUCGGGAAUUGCAUCUGAAACUGCUUAACUUGAGUCCUGGAUGGGGUAGUGGAAUUCCCAGUGUAGCGGUGAAAUGCGUAGAUAUUGGGAGGAACACCUGCGGCGAAGGCGGCUACCUGGACAGUGACUGACGCUGAGGCGCGAAAGCUAGGGGAGCGAACGG